AGCAGCCGCGGUAAUUCCAGCUCCAAUAGCGUAUAUUAAAGUUGUUGCAGUUAAAAAGCUCGUAGUUGAAUUUCGGGAUUAGUACGCUGGUCGUGCCUUCGGUAUGUACUGGUGUUACUGGUUCCUACCUUCUGACGAACCGUCAUGUCAUUAAUUUGGUGUGGCGGGGAAUCAGGACUGUUACUUUGAAAAAAUUAGAGUGUUUAAAGCAGGCUCGCGCUUGAAUACAUUAGCAUGGAAUAAUGAAAUAGGACGUUCGAUCCUAUUUUGUUGGUUUCUAGGAUUGACGUAAUGAUUAAUAGGGAUAGUUGGGGGCAUUAGUAUUCAAUUGUCAGAGGUGAAAUUCUUGGAUUUAUUGAAGACUAACUACUGCGAAAGCAUUUGCCAAGGAUGUUUUCAUUAAUCAAGAACGAAAGUUAGGGGAUCGAAGACGAUCAGAUACCGCCGUAG
This 450-nucleotide ribosomal RNA is filed under the name uncultured Glomeromycotina. Its description in RNAcentral is "SSU rRNA". It matches the Rfam family "Eukaryotic small subunit ribosomal RNA", at positions 569 to 1023 of the family's 1831-position model. The record is from RNAcentral. Lineage: Eukaryota; Fungi; Glomeromycota.